Molecule: ribosomal RNA, 429 nt
Filed under: Chloroflexota bacterium
Lineage: Bacteria; Bacillati; Chloroflexota
Description: Chloroflexi bacterium partial 16S ribosomal RNA
Rfam family: Bacterial small subunit ribosomal RNA
Source: RNAcentral
UAGGGAAUCUUCGGCAAUGGACGAAAGUCUGACCGAGCAACGCCGCGUGAGUGAAGAAGGUUUUCGGAUCGUAAAACUCUGUUGUUAGAGAAGAACAAGGACGUUAGUAACUGAACGUCCCCUGACGGUAUCUAACCAGAAAGCCACGGCUAACUACGUGCCAGCAGCCGCGGUAAUACGUAGGUGGCAAGCGUUGUCCGGAUUUAUUGGGCGUAAAGCGAGCGCAGGCGGUUUCUUAAGUCUGAUGUGAAAGCCCCCGGCUCAACCGGGGAGGGUCAUUGGAAACUGGGAGACUUGAGUGCAGAAGAGGAGAGUGGAAUUCCAUGUGUAGCGGUGAAAUGCGUAGAUAUAUGGAGGAACACCAGUGGCGAAGGCGGCCCCCUGGACGAAGACUGACGCUCAGGUGCGAAAGCGUGGUGAGCAAACAGG